This is a long non-coding RNA of Nicotiana attenuata, 491 nucleotides long. RefSeq lists it as uncharacterized. Lineage: Eukaryota; Viridiplantae; Streptophyta; Magnoliopsida; Solanales; Solanaceae. The transcript has 3 exons. The record is from RefSeq and is a predicted model, not a curated record.
GACAAUACCAAGGGAAUAGCUUGUCAACUAUUCUCCUAAGUAAGAAGAGACAUCCUUUUUAGGAUUCUAUAAAUGUAGAAUUCUUUGUCUACAGAUUGUUGUAUCUGCCACUCCGUCAAAGGCGAAAGGGAGUUGCUCCUCCUUCUUCGUCCCAGCCCGGCGUUUUUUCUUUGGUCUUGCUUGCUAAUUUCUCUGGUUUAUUAUGAAUUUCAGUGGAAAUACAGAAUUAUGUAACUCUCUUUGUGCUCAUUCCAAGGUAUAUCAUGGGGCGUUAUAGAGCAUCUGUGGGAAGACGCCUCUAGGCGUUUUGAUGAAAUUAUCCAUUGCCAGUGGAAAAAGUUGUGCUAUUGCUCAAUUCUAUUGUGACCAAUACUACUGUGGAGAUCAUGACCCUGACAAUGUUAUGAGAUCUGAGUAUGGGAGUGUGGGAGCAACUUGAAUUGUGUAAGACAGGUAUAUUCGCCUUUUCCCUCUAUAAAUUGGUGAAUUCG